This 30-nucleotide non-coding RNA is filed under the name Rattus norvegicus (Norway rat). Lineage: Eukaryota; Metazoa; Chordata; Mammalia; Rodentia; Muridae. The record is from RNAcentral.
UACUUGCUUGCCCAUUGUCUCUAUCUUUGC